This is a non-coding RNA of Picea glauca (white spruce), 94 nucleotides long. Lineage: Eukaryota; Viridiplantae; Streptophyta; Pinopsida; Pinales; Pinaceae. The record is from Rfam.
GUGAGCCUAGUGAUAGGAGACUAUCCAGCUCGGUUCGGAGAGCACUUGUUUACUACGAUUCAGGGUGAGCAGAGCGGCAAGAUAUUGAUUCGCU